CACUCUAAGUGGUGGAUCACUCGGCUCAUGGGUCGAUGAAGAACGCAGCAGACAGACAGCAGAAUGCAGUCCAUGCUGUUUGGUACUAUGCUAAAUAAGUUGUUUAAAAAUUUUACGAAAUUUUUAAGCAUAUUGUAUAUUAUUGGAUAUGUAUAUAUAUAUAGUGACA
Drosophila persimilis is the source of this 169-nucleotide non-coding RNA. Lineage: Eukaryota; Metazoa; Arthropoda; Insecta; Diptera; Drosophilidae. The record is from Rfam.